This 509-nucleotide ribosomal RNA is filed under the name Rhodococcus sp. PDR13. RNAcentral describes it as "bacterial SSU rRNA". It matches the Rfam family "Bacterial small subunit ribosomal RNA", at positions 340 to 860 of the family's 1533-position model. RNAcentral also lists the same sequence under 2 other names. The record is from RNAcentral. Lineage: Bacteria; Bacillati; Actinomycetota; Actinomycetes; Mycobacteriales; Nocardiaceae.
UACGGGAGGCAGCAGUGGGGAAUAUUGCACAAUGGGCGGAAGCCUGAUGCAGCGACGCCGCGUGAGGGAUGAAGGCCUUCGGGUUGUAAACCUCUUUCAGCAGGGACGAAGCGUGAGUGACGGUACCUGCAGAAGAAGCACCGGCUAACUACGUGCCAGCAGCCGCGGUAAUACGUAGGGUGCGAGCGUUGUCCGGAAUUACUGGGCGUAAAGAGUUCGUAGGCGGUUUGUCGCGUCGUUUGUGAAAACCCGGGGCUCAACUUCGGGCUUGCAGGCGAUACGGGCAGACUUGAGUGUUUCAGGGGAGACUGGAAUUCCUGGUGUAGCGGUGAAAUGCGCAGAUAUCAGGAGGAACACCGGUGGCGAAGGCGGGUCUCUGGGAAACAACUGACGCUGAGGAACGAAAGCGUGGGUAGCAAACAGGAUUAGAUACCCUGGUAGUCCACGCCGUAAACGGUGGGCGCUAGGUGUGGGUUCCUUCCACGGGAUCUGUGCCGUAGCUAACGCAU